Molecule: non-coding RNA, 6862 nt
Organism: Delphinapterus leucas (beluga whale)
Lineage: Eukaryota; Metazoa; Chordata; Mammalia; Artiodactyla; Monodontidae
Source: RefSeq, a predicted model, not a curated record
GUGAGACGCCCGCGUACCGAGAAUAAAAAAAAGGAAGAUGACUUUCUUUGCCUGUCCCGUGACACAUCAGACUUGGUUUCAGGAGUCAGUUUGCAACGGCACGGAAAUCAUGGGCCAGCUGAAACUGGCUUUGCCUCCUUAAAUAGGUUGUUUAUUAAUCAAGCUGAAACAGCACCAGCUUCACCUGGUUUCACCUCAUUUAAUAGGUCGUUGAUUCAGCAAUCCCCGAGUUAUUUAAUGGAGACAGCACUGUAAGUGUUCAAGACGGGAACCCAUGUUUCUAGGGUGACCUCGGAACCAAGGAUCUUCAGUCUACAGAACUUAAGGACUAGAAAUGUUACCACUCGAGCCCUUUACGAAGCGAGAAGUUCUUCAAUAAGGAACAUCUGGCCUCCAGCUGCACGAGUAGUUCAUAUGGCCUGAUUGGAGACGAGCCAAUCGGCUUCCAAGCUUGAAACUCCCUAACCCCUUAAAGUUCACUCGAGACGCUGAAUCGUGGAGAUGCAUUUGCGAGCCCAGCCUCCUGCUUGUUGACCUGACAGUAAAGCUCUUCGUCUUCUGGGAAAGCAUGUGCCAUCUCAUUGGCUUCUAUGCACGUCGGGCGGUGAGCCUUUGCUCGGUGACAAGUGUUGGGGGCGCUUAUCACAUGCUGAGUCACCUAAAGAUACUGCAUCUCGGUCAGUGUGCCCACCACCAGCCCCACCGGCCGGGUGAGAGGUCUGAGACGUGUGUCCAGGAGGGAUGACGAGGCGCUGGCGCCAUUUUUCACGAUGCGGUUGAGUAGGAUCCUGUACCGUCAGUGGGAUGCAAAGCUGUUUGCAGCACGGACGUGUGUACUGGGUGUUUCCUCAAUCGUUAUUUUAGUUCAAGAUUUCAAGCAAGAAGAGACCAUCACACUGGCAGGCUUCUAGGUGCUGGGACACAGCAGUGAUCAAGACAGACAAAAGCAUCAACUCAAAGAGCCUAUAAGGGGUCUUUUCCAUAGGCAACGAGGCCGAAACAGACGAUGAAAGAUAAGGGGUGUGUUUUUACCGAUUUUUCGUGUACAGCAGUGUCAUCGGGAGCAGGGCCACAGAUCCACACACAUAUAAUACAGGGUAGUGCACACAUGAAUAUUACUUUCUUCGAGGCUGCUUCCCUUCAGACUCAAGACAUUGAAGACCACGUAUCACUUUCCUUAAGACUCCUCCUCAGGACCCUGUCACUGGAGACCAUCCUGAUGGACCGGCUGGACGCUCUUGUGUCACAUGCUUGGUGAGGUGGACAUCCAUCCUCGUGGACCCUGAGCCAGCCUGCAGGCCUGAACUCUCCACACCCGUGGAUGAGCUGAGCCUCCUCGUGAAAAGGAGAAGAAAAGGAAGGGACAAUUCUGGGCACCAACUUCCCCCAAAUCCUGGAGCUCCAGGUCUGCAACCUCAGCAAGUACCCUCUGAACUACCCUGACUCUCAUGGGCUGAAUAGUGACACAUGGCCCCAGGGAGGGAGGAGCCAGUUGCUAAGUAGACCAUCCUGUGGGGACAGCGUCUGUUCAUUCAUAAAUCCACCAUCCCUUGUUUGGUUGGACAGGUAGAGCCAUAAUACCCACACUUAACUGUUUUUCCCCUAGGGUCCAUUUUAGGUCACCCCCAUCCCGUGAUCUGGAUCAGUAUUCUCUACAAUCUCGGGUUCUCCAAGGAAUGACUCGCUGUCAGCACUGCCCUGACGUCCUCGAGUGGCACUGCUUCCUGUGUUCGAGUCCCCUGGUUCUUUCAAGAAAAUAUCAGAGAAUCCGUAUCAGACAGUGUCAUUGCUGGAUUUUUCUACCCCCAGACAGCUGAGACUGUGAUUAUAGGCAUUAGAAUAUAAGAUGGGCACUUACCAGGUAGGUCGUGACACUAAUCCUCUAAUUAUUUUGCCUUAUUAACUCAUGUCCUUGAUUAGCACCUGACCAGGCUGGGCUGAGUUGGGUUUUAAGUGAUGGUUGUUUUUCAGUGAUACCGGGAGACAGAUGGCCUGUUCUAAGAAGGUAAUGGCUUUACAGUAUUUUUCAGAGAUUCCCCAGUAGAAAUCACUUGGUGUUUCCAUCAAACGGUUGCAGCAUUUACUGAGCUGACUCAGAUUCCCCUGGGAAGUGGUCUGCUCCUCCUCUCCUGGAGAGAUCCAGAGAGAUCCAGGAACCGGCAGAUCCUCACCUUGUCGGCGUUAUUCUUGGAGAGCCUGGCUGGGUGGCUGAAGAAGACCCAGAAGUGAUGAAAGAGGCCGUUCAGGAGCCCACGUUGUCUACGCAGAACGUAAGCCAUGGUGCAUCCGCAUCGUGUUCCACAUGCCAGGAUCUUGGCAACGAGAGGGGAACCCUGCAGAGGCGUGCGGUCACACCUGACACGGCAACCCUCUGCUUCUCACGGAUCGAGCUGGAUGGGGCAGCAGGUAGAGAUACUGCUCCCCUUUGGAAGGUGAGCUGGAGACACUUGAGCCCUUCUUUCCUGGAGUUUGCAGUCUCUUAGGGAGAUGCUCAAACAGUCCUCAAAAUCAAUAGGUUGACUUUCUCUCUACGUUACUUCUCAUCUGUCCUAGUCAUCUAAUCUUCAUAAGUCGUUGUUUCCCUGAAAGUGUCAGCUAUCCCCCUGCUUAACAUCCUUGGCUACUCUAAGAGCCAAGGACUUGGUAGCUUAAAAGAACAAAAUGUGCCGUCUUACCGUUUUAAAGCUCUAAACUCAAGGGAUCCGCAGGCUGGUUACUCCGGAGGCUCCAGGGGAGAAUCUAUUUCCUUCCUUUUCCACCUGCUGGAGGCGUCUGCCAUCCUGAGCUUGUGGCCCCUUCCUUGAUCAUCAAAACGAGCAGCUCAGCAUCUUGUAGUCAAAUACUCCUCUGACGUCCUCUUUACAGGGACCCAUGUGAUGACACUGGACCACCUGUAAAACCCAGGUCACCUGUGCAUCUCAAGGUGCUUAGCAGGACCACAUGUGCCAACUCCCUUUUGCUACGGCCAAGCACCGAAGAUGCAGGGGUGAGACUGUGCCUGGUACCAGCUGUGCGAGCUUGGGCAGGUCACUCCGCCUCUCAGAGGCCGGGACGGGUCACACAAAGGCACGGCGAGGGCCCGCGGAGCUCAGCCGGUGAGAACUCCUAUGGCUGCAGCCGACCCCCGGCACAGCUUACACGCGGGGCUGUUGUUAGUGAUGACGGCGUGGAGACCACUGCACGACCACAAUGAGUACCGCGACUAGUGCUAGUGUAAGUGCUACUCCAACUAUUGCAUUUACUACUACGACUGCGGCACUUAUCACUACGACAACUACUACUACCGUUACUGCUGCUGCGGCUGUUGGCUAUGGCUGCAAUGACUGCAGCAACCAGGACUGGCCUAAGUACUACCGCAACCGUGAGGUUUACUACUACAACCGUACUGUUUACUGCUACAAACGCUCCUACCACUACAGUGACUACAGCAAUCUGCACAACCGCUACGACUGUUACUCUUACAAGUGCAGCAAUUCCAGUGACUACAACGACGACUGCCACCGCUGCAGCUGCUACUAUCACAGCUGCUAUCAUUUUUGCUACUGCUACACCCACUGCUGUUACAGUCGGUACUGCUACAGCUCUUGCUGUCACAGCUCUUCUUAGUACAACUAAGUACAACUACAGCAGUUGCUCCUGCUAUAAAAGGUACCCCUCCCACAACCGCCACUACGACUGUUACAUUUACUGCCACAGUCACAACAAUUACUACAACUACUAUGAUUACAAAUUAUCACCAGUGCUGUAACUGUUACAGCACUUAGUACUGGUGUAACGUCUACUACAGCUCUUAGGGUUACUAUCGCAACCGGAACACUUACUACUACCACAACUGCUACUACCGCUGCCGCUACAAUCGUGACUACUGCGACAGUGACUACAGCAAUUGGCGCUACUACGACUGCUACUGCUAUCACAAGCACAGCAAUUCUGACGACGACUGCUGGUACAAUUAUCGCUAUGGCUACAGCUACUGCUGGGACAGCAAAUGGUACCACUAGGACUACUACCGCUGCUACUGUUACUAUCACGACUACUGCAGUUAUUGCUACAGCUACAGUGACUGCCACAACCGUUAGUAUCACAACUCCUGUUACGACCACAACUACAACAGUUGCUCGUGCUACAAAAACUACUAUUAUUACAACCACCGCCACGGUCAUUACCACUGCUCCAACGACAGCGAUUACAUUUAGUGCUACUACCACCGUCACGACAGCUGUUGUGUCUAUGACUACAGUUCUAACAUUCCCAAUACUACUGCUGUCACAAACACCUUUAAUUACUACUAGUGCGACAGUGACAAUGACUGCAACGAUCAGCGGUACUACAAUUACUACUGCAACUGUUACAUUUACUGCUACAAUUAUAACAAUUACCAGUGCCAGUGUUCCUACUAUUACAGCUGUCGCUGCGGCUACAACUACGAUUACUACAACAUCUAGUUCUAGGACAAAGAUUACGGCUAGACCGAGUGCUAUGACUACUGCUAAACUGCUUCUGUAAUUAUUCCUCCUCCUCUUCCUGCAACUAUAGGUACUACUUCAAAUACUACUACAACUAGUUUUACGAGGAUCGCAGCUGCAACUUCUGUAACAACUGCCAAUACUGCUAUAACUAGCGUUGCCACCACAAUGGCUACAACGAUUGCUCCUACAACAAUUACCGCCCCUACUGUUACUACUGCUACUAUGACUGCUACUCCUACUCCAGUCAUUGCUACAGCAACAACUACUACUGCUAUUGUUGCUGUUACUGUGAAAGAAAAACCAGAGCAGGACAGAGAAAAUGGUAAGAACAGACUUGAUUCAGGACUCCUGCAAUAGAGCAAAGAGAGCUCAGUACAGAGCCAGACUCAACUGCAAAGGCAGCACGGGCAAGUGGGGGUUUACAGCCACGGAGCAGGUGAGGGUCAGUGGAUGGAAAACUACUAACAGGAAAAUUAGGGGUGAGGGGAUUCUGGGUAAACUGACCCCACAGGAUUCCUGCUGAAGGCAGGGAAAGGUGACCAGACGUCACCUGGGGGGUGGGGCGUGCAGGAUGAGGCACCUGACCAGACAUGGAGAUGACCAGAUAUGAAGGGGGUGGGUUCUGGUUAAACCGACUAAGCAUGGCUCUUGCUAAAAUUGGACAAUGCAGAAAUGUACACAGAAGUCCAGAAAUCAGACCUCACUGAAGAAUUUAGGGGAGCCUGAUAUUACAGUCUGGUUGAGGAGACAAUUUUUGUCAACACAACGACUACUAACAUAGCUUCUGCCAUUAAGAGGAGCUCCUACUGCUUCUCGGUGGAAGACCCUCAAGUCAGAUACCAGGGAGGUGAGAACCUCGGCUGCUACACAGCCUUCUGUGACCCCUUCCCUGGGCACUUCCCAGCAGAACCCAGAUGACUCUCCACCAGGGGUUCUGGGUAUUUCUUCCCUAGAAGGAAUUUCUGCCCUCCAUCUCUCAAAUUCUAGACCUUAGGGGUUUUCCAAUAGAUGGUGACCACGUUUGGAAAUUAACCAUUGGCCCCAACACUUAGAUACAAGUCAUUUCCUUUUCCUGCGCCUGAUACUGUCUGAAUUAGCAUCCAGACUCUUCCACGUUUACAAACUGUGUGACCUUGACGCUGACUCAAGCGUUGUGCCUCAGUUUUCUCAUUUAUAAACAUCGGCCAGAAGGCUGUCUUCCUUCAAGGGCCGUAGUGAAGAUGCAGCAAGUUAAGACAUGCCCUGUGCCCUGGGCAGGGCUUAAAUCCUAGAUAUCGUGGUCGAGUAUCUGACUGUGUUCUGUUCUCAUUUUGUACCUGACUCUCACAUAUAAUUCAUGUGCAGCAGAGACUCCACGGACUGGCUGAAUUGCUCUUGACCCAGCUAUGACUCAGACCCAAAUGGGCCUCAGGUGGCCCUGCCGUAUGGUACCCUCCCCUCCUGGUUCUGAGUCCCAGUUGGACCCGAGAAAGUAUGUCACAGGGAAAUUCUAAGUUGAAUCCCUGUCUCGGAAGACCCACUGCAGGAGACGGUCACCAUGAUGAAUAUGGCAGGGGAUUACCUACCUCAUCCCCUCAACGCCUGUAGGUCAAGGUCAGUGUUAAGCAUCAUAUUUUCUACUAAGCAGCCCAUGGAUACACACACCGUUUACUGACACGCACAAGGGCACUCACCAGGGACUGAGUCAACGAUUCUACACAUGGCACGGGAGUUCGUCUCUGUGGAUUUGGACCAUCCCACUUCCAUUUUCUGCGUAUUCAAUAGGGUCUUCCAUAGAGUCGAGCGACUCUCCUGAGUUUCUGAAAUGAUGAAAAGGAAAAAAACAUUUCAGCAGAUUCAUGGAUGCCUGGUUCUUAAAAUAUCCCGUCUUAGAUAGAUCUCCUUCCCAUACAAUGGCAACUUUUUCUUUGUAGCACAUACCAGUGGAGGAUUUUAGCUAGUACUUUAAUUCUCAGAAAGGUUUUCAAUUCCAAAUUUUCAUGUGGGAAGACUUGUCCCCCUCUUUAAGGAGCACUAAUCUACAGAAGAAAGGAUCAAACACAUGACAAUCAGCUCAUGUUGAUUCUGUCCCUCAGAGGAGACUAUGCAAAUUAUUUAGUCAUCGUCAGAAAAUCCUAUUAAAGAUAUUUUAUCCCUGUUCCACGGCUUGAUAGAUUUGAAGACAAGGAUGACUUGGCUGUGACCUGAUUUUUGAAAAACUUUUGAAAACCAUCAUCUGUCUUGCUUUCUGGUGUUUGAUGUCUUUUUGAAGAGUGUGGGUCAAGAGCCACCCCCUCUUACACUUUCUAACUGCUCUGGAGGCAAAUAAUUCGCCUAACACAAAAAAUGUUCGAUUUAGGGGAUAAAUCUAUUCGGCUGCAGGAUUCAUUCGUUUACUUAGAAAGUGGUUUCCC